Molecule: ribosomal RNA, 460 nt
Filed under: uncultured bacterium
Lineage: Bacteria
Description: partial 16S ribosomal RNA
Rfam family: Bacterial small subunit ribosomal RNA
Source: RNAcentral
CCUACGGGAGUCAGCAGUGAGGAAUAUUGGUCAAUGGGCUUACGCCUGAACCAGCCAAGUCGCGUGAGGGAAGACUGCCCUAUGGGUUGUCAACCUCUUUUGUCAUGGAGCAACGCCUGCUACGUGUAGCCGGACUGAGAGUACCUUAAGAAAAAGCAUCGGCUAACUCCGUGCCAGCAGCCGCGGUAAUACGGAGGAUUCGAGCGUUAUCCUGAUUUAUUGGGUUUAAAGGGUGCGUAGGCGGAAUGCCAAGUCAGCGGUAAAAUCGCGGGGCUCAACCUCGAUCCGCCGUUGAAACUGGCGGUCGUGAGUGGGCGAGAAGUAUGCGGAAUGCGUGGUGUAGCGGUGAAAUGCAUAGAUAUCACGCAGAACUCCGAUUGCGAAGGCAGCAUACCGGCGCCCAACUGACGCUGAAGCACGAAAGCGUGGGUAUCGAACAGGAUUAGAUACCCGUGUAGUC